UAGGGAAUCUUCGGCAAUGGGGGGAACCCUGACCGAGCAACGCCGCGUGAGUGAAGAAGGUUUUCGGAUCGUAAAGCUCUGUUGUUAAGGAAGAACGAGUGUGAGAAUGGAAAGUUCAUGCUGUGACGGUACUUAACCAGAAAGGGACGGCUAACUACGUGCCAGCAGCCGCGGUAAUACGUAGGUCCCGAGCGUUGUCCGGAUUUAUUGGGCGUAAAGCGAGCGCAGGCGGUUAGAAAAGUCUGAAGUGAAAGGCAGUGGCUCAACCAUUGUAGGCUUUGGAAGCUGUUUAACGUGAGUGCAGAAGGGGAGGGUGGAAUUCCAUGUGUAGCGGUGAAAUGCGUAGAUAUAUGGAGGAACGCCGGUGGCGAAAGCGGCUCUCUGGUCUGUAACUGACGCUGAGGCUCGAAAGCGUGGGGAGCGAACAGG
RNAcentral lists this ribosomal RNA (429 nucleotides) under Bacteroidota bacterium. RNAcentral describes it as "Bacteroidetes bacterium partial 16S ribosomal RNA". It matches the Rfam family "Bacterial small subunit ribosomal RNA", at positions 355 to 776 of the family's 1533-position model. Lineage: Bacteria; Pseudomonadati; Bacteroidota. The record is from RNAcentral.